AUUGAACGCUGGCGGCAGGCCUAACACAUGCAAGUCGAGCGGAUGAAGGGAGCUUGCUCCUGGAUUCAGCGGCGGACGGGUGAGUAAUGCCUAGGAAUCUGCCUGGUAGUGGGGGAUAACGUCCGGAAACGGGCGCUAAUACCGCAUACGUCCUGAGGGAGAAAGUGGGGGUUCUUCGGACCUCACGCUAUCAGAUGAGCCUAGGUCGGAUUAGCUAGUUGGUGGGGUAAAGGCCUACCAAGGCGACGAUCCGUAACUGGUCUGAGAGGAUGAUCAGUCACACUGGAACUGAGACACGGUCCAGACUCCUACGGGAGGCAGCAGUGGGGAAUAUUGGACAAUGGGCGAAAGCCUGAUCCAGCCAUGCCGCGUGUGUGAAGAAGGUCUUCGGAUUGUAAAGCACUUUAAGUUGGGAGGAAGGGCAGUAAGUUAAUACCUUGCUGUUUUGACGGUACCAACAGAAUAAGCACCGGCUAACUUCGUG
This 484-nucleotide ribosomal RNA is filed under the name uncultured bacterium. RNAcentral's name for it is "partial 16S ribosomal RNA". It matches the Rfam family "Bacterial small subunit ribosomal RNA", at positions 30 to 507 of the family's 1533-position model. The record is from RNAcentral.